ACGGGAGGCAGCAGUGGGGAAUAUUGCACAGUGGGGGGAACCCUGAUGCAGCGAUGCCGCGUGGAGGAAGAAGGUUUUCGGAUUGUAAACUCCUGUCUUAAGGGACGAUAAUGACGGUACCUUAGGAGGAAGCUCCGGCUAACUACGUGCCAGCAGCCGCGGUAAUACGUAGGGAGCGAGCGUUGUCCGGAAUUACUGGGUGUAAAGGGUGCGUAGGCGGGACGGCAAGUCAGAUGUGAAAUGUAUGGGCUUAACCCAUGAACUGCAUUUGAAACUGUUGUUCUUGAGUGAGGUAGAGGUAAGCGGAAUUCCUAGUGUAGCGGUGAAAUGCGUAGAUAUUAGGAGGAACAUCGGCGGCGAAGGCGGCUUACUGGGCCUUUACUGACGCUGAGGCACGAAAGCGUGGGGAGCAAACAGGAUUAGAUACCCUGGUA
This 434-nucleotide ribosomal RNA is filed under the name uncultured Ruminococcus sp. RNAcentral describes it as "partial 16S ribosomal RNA". It matches the Rfam family "Bacterial small subunit ribosomal RNA", at positions 341 to 792 of the family's 1533-position model. Lineage: Bacteria; Bacillati; Bacillota; Clostridia; Eubacteriales; Oscillospiraceae. The record is from RNAcentral.